UAAAUAGAAUCUAAUGUAAUAGAGUUACAGUGAUAGUGUGAUUAAGCUUAAAUAAAUAAGCCUAUUUAA
Molecule: transfer RNA, 69 nt
Filed under: Eucoleus annulatus
Lineage: Eukaryota; Metazoa; Nematoda; Enoplea; Trichinellida; Capillariidae
Description: tRNA-Ile
Source: RNAcentral